UGGGGAAUAUUGGACAAUGGGGGCAACCCUGAUCCAGCAAUGCCGCGUGUGUGAAGAAGGUUUUCGGAUUGUAAAGCACUUUCGGCGGGGACGAUGAUGACGGUACCCGCAGAAGAAGCCCCGGCUAACUUCGUGCCAGCAGCCGCGGUAAUACGAAGGGGGCUAGCGUUGCUCGGAAUGACUGGGCGUAAAGGGCGUGUAGGCGGUUUGUACAGUCAGAUGUGAAAUCCCCGGGCUUAACCUGGGAGCUGCAUUUGAGACGUGCAGACUAGAGUGUGAGAGAGGGUUGUGGAAUUCCCAGUGUAGAGGUGAAAUUCGUAGAUAUUGGGAAGAACACCGGUGGCGAAGGCGGCAACCUGGCUCAUUACUGACGCUGAGGCGCGAAAGCGUGGGGAGCAAACAGGAUUAGAUACCCUGGUAGUCCACGCUGUAAACGAUGUGUGCUGGAUGUUGGGUAACUUAGUUAUUCAGUGUCGUAGCUAACGCGAUAAGCACACCGCCUGGGGAGUACGGCCGCAAGGUUGAAACUCUAAAGUGAAUUGACGGGGUC
RNAcentral lists this ribosomal RNA (550 nucleotides) under uncultured bacterium. Its description in RNAcentral is "partial 16S ribosomal RNA". It matches the Rfam family "Bacterial small subunit ribosomal RNA", at positions 355 to 920 of the family's 1533-position model. The record is from RNAcentral.